RNAcentral lists this long non-coding RNA (3781 nucleotides) under Sus scrofa (pig). RNAcentral's name for it is "lncRNA (ENSSSCG00000055149.1)". Lineage: Eukaryota; Metazoa; Chordata; Mammalia; Artiodactyla; Suidae. The record is from RNAcentral.
CAUCUUGGCUAUUGUGAAUAGUGCUGUAAUGAAUAUGCGGGUGCAUGUCUUUUUCCAGGAAAGUUUUGUCUGGAUAUAUACCCAAGAGUGGAAUUGCUGGGUCAUAUGAUAGUUCUAUGUAUAGUUUUCUAAGGUCGAAUUUAUAAGUGAAUUUGUUGAAAAUUAGUAUACUAGUUUAAUAAUUUUGGUUAAAAAUUGUACUUAUGUCUUUUCCUUGAUUUUUGUCAUUAUGAAAUACUAGAUAAGUACACAUUUUAUUCUUUUUAAAAGUAGAUUAGUGUUCAUUUUUUCAUAAAUAGGCUAGUUCAUUUGAUUUCCUUGACUACUAUACUGAUAAAAUAAAUUAAGUAAUCCUACAUAACUUUUAAAACUAUAAAAAAUAUAAAGUUGUGUCCAACUAAAUUGAAUAAUUCUGAAAAAUUUUUAAAACAAGUAAUUACAUUUUCUGUGUAUCAGUUUGAGCAUUAUUUCCUUAAAUAUCUUAAAAUCUUUUCAUGGUAUUAAAUUGAAUUAAUUAACAGCUAAUUAUUUACCUAUAUAGUUUCUAAGUAAUGUUUCUGAAUAUACAAACACUGGUUGAUUAUCAUAAUAAUGUUUACAUAUGUUUGUUCCUUUUUAAAUAUAUCAUGUUUGUAAAAUGAUGUUUGUCCCACUAGAAAAUUUUGAGCUUUGCUAGUAUUCUAAAGUGUUUGGUGCAAAAGUUCUUCACUAUUAUUCUGUUAGUUUUUUGUGAAAUAUUAGUUAAUUUUUUUAAAAAUUAUAAUUAAUGUGGGUGCUCAAGACUAAGAGCACCAUCGAUAACAUCACAACCUUAUUUUCAGGCAAGUGGAUGAGAUUUGGUUUUUCAGGGAAUCAAAGAGUGGGUUUUUCCUAAAUAAAGCAUUAAUUUGUUCUAGAAUAUGAAAGAUGAUAGUGAAGGAUAAAUUUUAUCUAUUUGGUCCAAGUUUUAAAGGACACGAAGGAAGGGAAUUGAAUUUUCUUUGGUUUAGUAACAGAUUCCAUGUCUCACUAGAAUAAUUAUUUUCCUUUAAAUUGACUUUGAAGUGUUUUGAUUAUUUUAAAAAAUGGUUCCUUGAUUCUAAAAGAGCUAAUAUUUCUCACAGCUGUAUAAUGUUUUAUUUUUAAAUAAUGCUUAGAUACAAUAAGUCACCAGUUUUGAUGUUUUAUUUUUAAAUAAUGCUUAGAUACAAUAAGUAACCAGUUUUGAUCCCAUUUCAGUUAGUUAACUAAAUUAUCAAAACCAGAUAUCUGGGUGUCCUCAAAUAAAAGAGACAAAGGUAGAACUUUUCCAAGCUAGCAAUAAAUUAAAUCUACCUCCACAUAAAAUAUUGCUAACAUUUAAUAUGUUGUGAUCGUAUGUGUUUUAGAAAGGCCAUGGGAGAUUUGUCAGUGAACUUGAUGCCCACACUUUUUACCCUAAGAGAAAUUAUUGAUCAAACCUUUAUGAAAUAGUCACAUCAUACCAUACCAAUAAAGUAUUCUAUCAUGCAACCCUAGGUCAGUGGUGGGGGAGGAUCCUGGGGAGAACUAGAGGGAGGACAGGCAAGAAGGGCUUUUCAGGGUUUUUGAAGACAACUGGUAUUGUCACUUGGGUCAUAAUCAAGAUAUAAAUUUUUUAUUCUUUAAAUGCAAUUCACCAAGCAAUUUAGUCUCCAUUUCAAUGGCGAUAACAAUAUUGGAAUAAACUCUCACUGUUAUAUUAGAGUACUGAAAAUUUCAACCUGGAAGAGCCUGCUUUGGGGAGGGCUGGUGAGGAGUUAUUUUGGAAGCUGAUGAAGAAAGUGGAUUCAGUUGCAAGGAGCCACCCUCAUUUCUGUUCUUAAAAUCUAUAGUUUUUCCAAUUAAAAUAUGUAGAAAACAUUUUUUUUCUGGCCUUAUUGGUUCUUUGUAGUGGGAUAAAAGACACCUCACAAGAUAGCUGGUAGAAUACAGAGAUCUGAGGGCUACUGGCUGUGCUGUUAAUAGGCAAAACAGAAUAAGGAGUUGUAGUUCAGUGAUACCACUUUCCAGCACCCACAACUUCAAACACAUCACAGAGAAUAGUUGUGGUGAGUAGUCACGUUCUUAAUGGUGCUUUUGGCUCUAAAAUAAGAAGUCCUGCCAGAGGCUUUAACCUUAAGUUUCACUGGGUGUCUCUAGAUGUCAUGUAUACUUUUCUAAUUUGUUACUUGGCACAUGGAAGCAAUGGUGUCUUGUUUUUUUAUUUAUUCUGAGACAAAAUAUAUCCUUCUGUUUUCCUAGGAAUAAUAAAAAAAAAAGACAAUUAGAUUCCCAACAUUGUCUGGAAAAUCUAUAUGUAAAUGCCCUGUGACCUCCUGUUGAAGAAGUUUGAGCUAGGAGGCUGAGUAGAUGUCAAUAGACUAAGUGGAUAUAUAUGUAUAGUGGUCAAUUUGAGUUUGCAUGUAAUUCUGGUUAUUUUGUGAUGUAUUUAUUUAAAAACAUCCAUAUUCCAUUAAUUGGAAUUAAUACAUUCUGAAAUAAAAAAGCAUUUUUAAAAGCAAUACAAUUUUGUUUCCCUUAGGAAGAGUAUAAAUCAAAAAUACCUAAUGUUUUUAUAGUACUUAGUCUUUGAAAUUUUGUAUGAAUAGACAAGACUGAAUUAAUAGAGUUUAUAUUUUAUGUAAAUAUAAUCCUGAAUGCUUUAAAUAUAUAUAAAGAUAGAACAUUUUAAAGUCUAUAUUUUCUAUAAAAGUAAAUAUUUUUGAUAAAAUAGGCUAUCCAUUGAUAAAUUAGUCUCGUUUUAUAUGCAUACAACUUAAUAAAUUUUUUUCAGAAUAAGUAUCUUUAAAAGAAAAAUGCCAUCAUAUUAUUUAGUUCAAGAAGGCAGGAUUUUUUCCUUCUGUAAAAUCUAAGAGGGCUAUUCUUACUUUCCCCCCAAAUUUAGAAUAUUUUUUCAGAUUAUAGCAGACAAGUCUGACACAAAAGUUACUAAAUAGACCAAGGGAGAAAGAAUUGUUGCGUUUCACUUUUCCUUUCAUUUAAAUAUUUUUUUUAAACAAAUUUAACUUGCCACACUUGAGAUUGGGUCAGGACAUUGGCUGAGUUGGGAGCAUAGAUACCUAGGAGCUAUAGCAGGCAUUGGCAAAGUACAGCCAGUGUACAACAUUAGUCCACUAUCUCUUUUCAUAUAUAAAGUUUUAUUGAAACACAACCAGCCAUGCUCCUAGUUUAUGCUCUUUUCUAUGACUACUCUCACACCACAAUGGCAAGAUUGAGUAGUUGUGACAAAGAUCGGAUGGCCCACAAAAUCUAAAAUAUUUAAUAUCUGACCUUUAAAGAAAAACUUGCUGGAUCUUAAAUGUACAGCAAUUAUUCAAAGACUUAGGCUAAUGAUUAAAGAGAAAAGGCAGUUUCUAGGACUAUCUGGCCUACAUGCAGAAUUAAAAAACUGGCAAUCAACAAACAAAAAAAUCCCCAGCAAUAUACUUUUUCUCACUGAGUUUGUGUCUUAGAGGAACAGCAUACAAUAUGGCACAAUUACCCAGUAUUUUAUUGAAAUCUGCCCUAAGAUCAAUAAUUGUUUUCUAAGGAAUACAGAAAAGUAUAGUAGUUUUUUUCAACUUCCUGUUAUAAACCUCAGAGAACAUCUUCAGUAGGAUGAUUCACAUUAAAAACAAAACAAAACAAAUCUUAGAAGCAUCUGGGAUGAUUUCAGUGAAAAUGGUGAACCCCUCUAUAAAAAUGCUGAAAAAGAAGAGAAACCUGUCAGAAUCAACUUUGUUGGGAGAAUAGUCAAAGGUUUAAAGCAACCAAGCAGAUGCUGACUUAAGAAAGAGACAAC